Balaenoptera acutorostrata (minke whale) is the source of this 2765-nucleotide long non-coding RNA. RefSeq lists it as uncharacterized. The transcript is spliced from 3 exons. Lineage: Eukaryota; Metazoa; Chordata; Mammalia; Artiodactyla; Balaenopteridae. The record is from RefSeq and is a predicted model, not a curated record.
AGAUUUUUCCCUCUUGUUAGCAGAGGAGAACACAUCUUUGCUAAUGUGUAUCCAUUUUCUACUGAAUGAGAAAUCAAACAGAUGUCCCUGCUGAUUUAGCUAUGAAAAUAUUAGUAUAAUAAUUAGAUUGGAGUUUACUCUUAAUUGCCAAGAAGGACAUAAAAGAGGUGUGGUGGAAGGGUCUGCCAGAACCAGAGGCUAAGCACACAGCAGUAUAAAACAAAUUCUUUAUUCCAGCUUCCAGAAUUCAUCCUCUUCAAACUUUCCUGUUCACUGGAAUAACGAAGCCAUUAAACAGUGGUGUCAAGAAGUCUCAUCCAGUGGUUGAAGCUCGGUAGAAAACAAGGAAGCAGGCAGGUGUGGAUCCAGUAGACCAGCUGCACUCAGACCUUCCCACUUUCACUAAAGGGGGUGGGGAAGUGGGGAGACAAAAUUUAAAUUAAAUUGGUACUGAAGCAGAUCUGAUGUGACUGUGACGAUCUUCCAGUGAAUAUUUGUUUAUCUUAAAUAGUCACGUGUUAAAAAUGUGAGUGUCAGAUUUACUUCCUCCCAAGGCCACUCAGCUAUGCUUCUUGUAGUCUUUGGAAGGGAUGAAGAGGAAACACAGAGCCACACUUUAAUGAUGGUGGCUAGACAUUUGUGAAAGCUAAGUGUAAUCGUAGAAACAUUUUAUUUUAUAUUUUUAUUCCAAAGUAAAUGCAGUGUGCUAAGUGAGCAGGUUUAGAUAAAUGUUUUGUGAUAUGCCAGAAAGGUUACACAUACAUUUGCUUAAAGAAACUCUCCCUCUGGAUUUAAUAAAAUUCUAGCCACAAAGAGGUAUAAAAUUUAACUCAUGGGAUGUAAUAAAAAACCUAGAAAACUUACUUCCCACACAUUUUCCUUCCCUUCCCUCCCUUCCCCUGCCUUGUCUUCUCCCCCAUCCCCCCCACCCCGAGCCUUGCUCUCCAUGGUUGUAGGAAAAGAAGAACAGCUGAGCUCAUAGUUAUGUUGUUCCUUUACACUCUGAAUCAGAGGGAGGUUUUCUGGGAUCUCCCAAAACUACAGUGCUAAGGAGCUUGUUGCUACCCACCGCACAUGAUCCCACAACUGAUUAAAUGUCUUGAGAAUUGGCCGGUAUUUUUAAUUGAACAAGGGAAAACUUAAAUAUACAGGAAGUGUACCUUUGUCUUUCAAUUCAUUUGUAUAUUUUCUUGAUGCUUCGCAUAAAGACCAAAGGAUGCUUUUGCUUCCCUCUGCCCCCGCCAGAACUGUGGAGUUAUUGUGGGGUGUAUGGUAUUCCAUAGCACACCAUAAAUCUCCACUAGAUGUCAGUGUGUCACCAAAUGAAACCAGUUCAGCGCGCUCUCCGGACCUGUUCUUGAAACAUUGAAAAUGGGAACUCAUCUAUAACUUUUUAACCAGAAUGAUACAGAGAACUUUUAGUAUGCAGGUUAAUAAUAAGUUGUAUUUGUCAAUCAAUCCUAAUAAAAAUGAAAUCUUUAAAAAAUGUUGUACCUUUCAUCUGAGGAUUUUAAAAUGCUUUACUUAUAUUCUAGUUUUUGCAAUAAUAGCCCCAAAGAGAUAGAAGGCAAGUAUUCAUUUUACAUUUUACAGUAAAGUAUCUGAAGUGCAAGGGGACAAAAUGAUUGGCUCAAGGUCACACAGACGACAUCUGAUAAACCCAGGCUGGUAUUUCUGCCAUCACAGAACCUACUCUACCUAAAUAGUGCUGCUUCUCCUUUGGCAUGGAAAGCGUACUUGGAUGCAGAUGCCCUUUAUUUCUCAUUUGUAUUAACCACUUUGCCUAAAAAACAAGCUCAAGAAAAGUGAAAUAAUAAUUAAGAAUGAUUGAAGAUUAUUGAUUCAAUUAGUAUGGAGAUGUUUAAGAUGUAAUUUUAAGGUUUUAUAAACAUUGCACAAAGAAAAUGUGCUAAACAAUGUAGAUAACUUUUAAAGUUUAUAGCAAUGUUUUACCUAUGCUAUUUUACAGAUGGUGAACUCAGACCAAUGUUAGCCUUGUCAUAGCUCAUGUGCUCAAGUGCAGAAGGAAAGAAACGCAGUUGUAAUUUGGUCUGGAAGGUUGAAGCUCUUGGGUAUUUUGGGAUUGAUGGACAUAUUGCAUUUUGUAGGUUUUACACUGUAUAAUUUUCUUAAAGAGGAGUAUACAUACAGUCCUGUAUAUGAGGAUUUAAAUAGUGAUUUUCUCAAAAUUGUGUAAAUACACAAGUUACAACUAUGUGAAAAUCAUGUUUGUGGAUAGAGAUUAAAAGGUAACACAUUAGGGUGGUGAGAUUACAGGUGAAUUUAAUCUUCCCCUCUAUAUGUGGUAACAUUGUUUUUAUAAUAAAAAGGGGAAAAUGGUUUUUAUUGUCUUGUAAAAAUUUGCCAGGAUCUCCAGUUUAGAAAGGCUUGUUUCCUGUCAAUGAGGUACGUUGUAAACAACUGAAAUUCAAAAGAUUUUGUUUGGUUUAUUUACUUUAAAUGUUUUAGUAAUCAUAGAAACCAAGGUUAAACUGGCAGAAGUACGUAUUUUCAAACCUUACAGGGAAUUUUGAGUGAAAAUAAAUGAUUGCCCCAAUCCCAGCAGGCUGUUUGCUGGUAAUGUUCAGUGCAUUGUCGAUGUUCAUACUGAUGAAGAGAUGUUUAAUAAAUGUAGCUCGCUUCAAUUUGUGUUUUCCUUUGAAACGGUGCAAGGUUAAAAGAGUUGCCAGUAAAGUUCAAGAGAUUUUCAAAAUUAAAAAUUAUAAUAGCUAUUGAUUUUGCAUGCUUGGACCUAUGUUUUGGUU